UUGGCCAGCUAUCCAGUGCGUUGUGAUUGGCCGAAUACCUCAAGCGUGUGACGGAAAUAUUACGCACCUUAACAUAAUGUGAUGCCUGCGGCAACAACA
Sinocyclocheilus grahami is the source of this 99-nucleotide long non-coding RNA. RefSeq lists it as uncharacterized. The record is from RefSeq and is a predicted model, not a curated record. The transcript is spliced from 3 exons. Lineage: Eukaryota; Metazoa; Chordata; Actinopteri; Cypriniformes; Cyprinidae.